GAUACUGUGCAUAUUUUUAACUUGAUAAAGUUUACAUGAUUUCCCUUGUCUUUGCGUCUUCAUACUCAGGUUCAGUUAGAGCAAAAAAAUGCAUUAUCCAGACUAAAAUACUGCGCAAACGUGUGUAGAAGGAUGACGAAUGCGUGUGUGUAAAAAUCGGAACGAAAUCAUAAUUUCAUAGUUGCACUCUUCCUAAAUGGUAAAUGCACGAAAUAAUGGAUGGAAAACAUGCUACUGAUAACAACUGGAGAAACUGAGUGMAUUUUUCUAUAAAUCAAAUCAAGAAAAAUGCAGCAUUGCUGAAUUAAUUAAUUUGUAUUCCUGGGUAAGAAAACUAAUUCUCCAGCAAAUUCCGUUCGGGACAGGAAGUAAGAAGUGAAAUGAUACCCAGCAAUUUGGUUUCCCUGUGUUUUGCCCCUGUCCGCCCCUCUAUUCAAACUCCAACAGUAAACCUGUCAAUCAAAACAGUUUCUAUUUCCUUAUUCGUUAAAUUCAGCGUGUGAAAUCGACGACUUUUUCUUUCUGGACGCUGAUUGGUUAAAUUGUGACUUGACACAACAUUGAAAUGGUUUUCUGGACAGCUGAGGUCAAUCAGUCGUCGGGGCGAAGCUGCUGGAAGAACAUCGCAGAGGUUUGUAUCCCUUUGAAAUGCCGUUAAAAUUAUAGCGAAAGCUUAUUCUGAACUCUUCAAUUUGCAGUUUUUAGAAUGUUCUUCACCAACUGUCGCUGAUGGAUACAUUGUAGAAUGCUUUUAAAGGCAAAUUCUAUACCGAACUUUAGUUCCAAACAGAGCACAUGGUCUACACGAAGGAAAGUUUACAUUCUCACGUAAAAAGAGCUGAAUAUUUCAAGAAAUGAAACGCGACGAUUUUGCCCCAUUUGGUUUGGGAUAAAGUAAAGCUGCGAACGUUUCGGUUGCGGCUUUGCUUGCUGGAAUACUUCCCUCCCAAAGGAUAUCAUGUACCUAACUAUCAAAUACACUUGAGAAACAAGAGCAUAGAUGAAGAACACAGAUGAAGAACAGAUGAAGACGUCGAGCAUGUUUCGGCAUGCAAAGGUUUUGAAUUCCUCCAUUAAGUAAUCUUGAGGAGCUGCAUCUACUGCACCUCCAUAGUUCAAGGGAAAUCAGAUGGUCUUAAUGUUUCAAGAAUGAAACCUUGAGAUACUUUUGUCAUACAAACUUGGUGCUUGGGAUACCAUCCAUGAAGAUUGGUAUUGCAACACUUUAGCUCUAGGGUUAGUUUGCAGGCAUAUCACAAAUUAUAGGAACUUUUCA
Exaiptasia diaphana is the source of this 1276-nucleotide long non-coding RNA. RefSeq lists it as uncharacterized. The record is from RefSeq and is a predicted model, not a curated record. NCBI's taxonomy places the organism in Eukaryota, Metazoa, Cnidaria, Anthozoa, Actiniaria, Aiptasiidae. The transcript has 3 exons.